This 249-nucleotide unclassified non-coding RNA is filed under the name Robillarda sessilis. RNAcentral's name for it is "partial internal transcribed spacer region". The stretch from base 1 to 46 matches the Rfam family "Eukaryotic small subunit ribosomal RNA", at positions 1786 to 1831 of the family's 1831-position model. The record is from RNAcentral. Lineage: Eukaryota; Fungi; Ascomycota; Sordariomycetes; Amphisphaeriales; Sporocadaceae.
AAGUCGUAACAAGGUCUCCGUUGGUGAACCAGCGGAGGGAUCAUUAUAGAGUUUUCUAAACUCCCAAACCCAUGUGAACUUACCAUUGUUGCCUCGGCAGAGCCUACCCGGUACCUACCCUGUAGCUACCCAGGAACGGGCUACCCUGUAACGUCCUGCCGGUGGACUUCUAAACUCUUGUUAUUUAUAGUAAUCUGAGCGUCUUAUUUUAAUAAGUCAAAACUUUCAACAACGGAUCUCUUGGUUCUG